CUCAGAGGGCCGAUGUUGUCAACAUAAAAUUAAAAAUAGAAAAAUAAAUUUAAAGCAUCUUUUUUUUGAUGUGCAGUCUUGAAAAAAAGCGUUGCUUUUAUGCACCAAGAGAACUUUGGGAUAGGUUUUACCCUAAUCUGUUCAGAACAACAGAUCUCUGCAUAUCAGUCACCAGUUCUUCCUACUUUAUGAAUUAAAGAAAGAGUAAUUGCUUUCAUAGUGAAAUAAAUGUGCUUUUUUUAUCAGUAGUAGAUCAUAAGCGGAACAGUUUAUGUGAAAAUAUGCGUACAAAUACAAAGUAUACUGCAAGGAUGUGAACAUAAAUUUUCUGCUAACUUCAAAAAUGUCUCGGAAGGAAAAAAAAUUAAAAUAAGACCAAAACACGAACAAAACUUAACACUGUGCAUCCUCUCUUGGCCUGCUGUGCUCCGUGAUCCCAGGUUUGCUGCCAGGUGGUUGAAUGCCCAUUAGUCUCCCUGUCUGCUUUGCUCUGCCAGCUUCAGGCUCAACAGGCGCUACAGAGAGAAUAAAUUAUGAUCCACCCACGGGCUAUCUGCCUUCUCUGGCCCUGACUCACCUAUUUACACUAGCUGUGCACUUGAGGCAAAUUACAUUUUCCUUUCAAAUAUUUGCUUUUAUUAAUGUUGUGCAGCAUGGUGAUUAAUCUCCUCAAUAAAGGUACCAUCUGCCUGACCCAAAAAAAAAGAAAAAAUGAAAUUAUGCUUUCACGUCCUGUGAUUAAGAUGAAUAUCAUAUGUGGAGUUGAAAACAGCUUUAACAGAGGAAAAACAAAGAAAACACUUGCUGAGAGAUGAGCCAGCACCCCUUACCUGUCCUCCCCCUCCUCUCUCACUUAUUUUUAGUCUUUUCCUUCAACCCCAGUUUCUGAUCUGCUACAGUACCUGAGCGUACCCCUGCACUGCGGCGUUAGAGCAUGCAGGGACAGAUAAACCUGCUGUAAUGAAAAUGAAUGUUCCCACUUGGAGCCCGAUAGAGUUCCAUUAUGAGGUUUAUUUGUUGGGGGGCAGGACGCCAGGCUCAGGGAUGAGUUUUACUUGGCUCUCUUCAGACGUGCAGGGGCGAAAACUCCAACGCCGGCUAAUCUAGCAGAGCAGCUUUGCCCUGGCCGUGUCCUCAUUGAGAAACCUGAAACCACUUGCUUGCUUUCUGUCACUUUGUUUUCUGUUUUGUUUUUCUGUCUCCUCUCUGCAGCUCGUCUCAUCAAAAUGAAAAGUCUCUAGCCAUUAUGCUCUUUUUUCUCCGUCAUUGCUUAUUCAGUUGUGAUGUUCUUCUCUCUGUUAGUGUCUGACUUUCUGGGUUGUUGUUUUUUUUUUUUUUUUUUUAGAAGAAUAGCUCAGCUCACAGAACUUGAAGUCUGCCCUUUUAGUGUUUCUCAAGUUUCUAAAAAAUUUGUGUAAACUAUCCAUCAGUCUAUCCAUUUUCUUAAUCACUUAUUCAGGUCACGGUUGUUGCAGCUCACAGAGGGUGAGAGGCGGCUAAAGACCCAGGACAGGUUGCCAAUCUAUCCCGGGGCCUUUGUGCAAACUACUCACCUCAAAACUGGCAUUCGGUGAAGUACGCUGAUUAUGUCAAAGAAGCAAAUGCUUCUACUUUCCUCUGAAACAAAAAUUGCACAUACACGCCAUCUGUUCCACACAUGGAUGAAUCAUAUUUUGAGCCAAUGUUCCUGGUAAUGAUCAUGCUGUAUUUUAUUUUCUCUGUUUUUGCUUCCUUUUACUCAGCAUUUCUAGAAAUUUAGCAGAUUCAGUUUCUGAUUUAACAUUUUCUAAGAUUUUAUUUGAUACUAAGCAAAUUUAUAAUAACGAAGCACUGAAAGAAC
Molecule: long non-coding RNA, 1840 nt
Organism: Astatotilapia calliptera (eastern happy)
Lineage: Eukaryota; Metazoa; Chordata; Actinopteri; Cichliformes; Cichlidae
Source: Ensembl